GACGUAGGGCGCGAGCGUUGUCCGGAUUUAUUGGGCGUAAAGAGCUCGUAGGCGGCUUGUUGCGUCGGCUGUGAAAACCCGCAGCUCAACUGUGGGCUUGCAGCCGAUACGGGCAGGCUUGAGUUCGGUAGGGGAGACUGGAAUUCCUGGUGUAGCGGUGAAAUGCGUAGAUAUUGGGAGGAACACCAGUGGCGAAGGCGGCUCACUGGACCGGUACUGACGCUGAUGCGCGAAAGCGUGGGGAGCAAACGGG
This 253-nucleotide ribosomal RNA is filed under the name uncultured bacterium. Its description in RNAcentral is "partial 16S ribosomal RNA". It matches the Rfam family "Bacterial small subunit ribosomal RNA", at positions 524 to 776 of the family's 1533-position model. The record is from RNAcentral.